RNAcentral lists this ribosomal RNA (1486 nucleotides) under uncultured bacterium. RNAcentral's name for it is "16S ribosomal RNA". It matches the Rfam family "Bacterial small subunit ribosomal RNA". The record is from RNAcentral.
AGAGUUUGAUCCUGGCUCAGGAUGAACGCUAGCGACAGGCUUAACACAUGCAAGUCGAGGGGCAUCACGGGAGUAGCAAUACAACUGGUGGCGACCGGCGCACGGGUGAGUAACGCGUAUGCAACCUACCUAUCAGAGGGGAAUAACCCGGCGAAAGUCGGACUAAUACCGCAUAAAACAGGGGCACCGCAUGGUGAUAUUUGUUAAAGAAAUUCGCUGAUAGAUGGGCAUGCGUUCCAUUAGGUAGUUGGUGAGGUAACGGCUCACCAAGCCGACGAUGGAUAGGGGAACUGAGAGGUUGGUCCCCCACACUGGUACUGAGACACGGACCAGACUCCUACGGGAGGCAGCAGUGAGGAAUAUUGGUCAAUGGGCGGGAGCCUGAACCAGCCAAGUCGCGUGAAGGAAGAAGGAUCUAUGGUUCGUAAACUUCUUUUGCAGGGGAAUAAAGUGCGGGACGUGUCUGUUUUGUAUGUACCUGAGAAUAAGGAUCGGCUAACUCCGUGCCAGCAGCCGCGGUAAUACGGAGGAUCCGAGCGUUAUCCGGAUUUAUUGGGUUUAAAGGGUGCGUAGGCGGUUUGAUAAGUCAGCGGUGAAAUAUUUCAGCUUAACUGGAAGGGUGCCGUUGAUACUGUCGAGCUUGAAUUUAGUUGCUGUGGGUGGAAUGUGUGGUGUAGCGGUGAAAUGCAUAGAUAUCACACAGAAUAUCGAUUGCGAAGGCAGCUCACAAAGCUAAUAUUGACGCUGAUGCACGAAGUGUGGGGAUCAAACAGGAUUAGAUACCCUGGUAGUCCACACUGUAAACGAUGAUAACUCGCUGUCGGCGAUACACCGUCGGUGGCCAAGCGAAAGCGAUAAGUUAUCCACCUGGGGAGUACGACCGCAAGGUUGAAACUCAAAGGAAUUGACGGGGGCCCGCACAAGCGGAGGAACAUGUGGUUUAAUUCGAUGAUACGCGAGGAACCUUACCCGGGCUCGAACGGUGCAUGAAUGAUUCAGAGAUGGAUUAGUCCUUCGGGACAUGUAUCGAGGUGCUGCAUGGUUGUCGUCAGCUCGUGCCGUGAGGUGUCGGCUUAAGUGCCAUAACGAGCGCAACCCUUGUCGUUAGUUGCCAUCAGGUAAUGCUGGGAACUCUAGCGAGACUGCCACCGUAAGGUGCGAGGAAGGGGGGGAUGACGUCAAAUCAGCACGGCCCUUACGUCCGGGGCGACACACGUGUUACAAUGGCAGGUACAGAGGGCAGCUACCCAGCGAUGGGGUGCGAAUCUCGAAAGCCUGUCUCAGUUCGGAUCGGAGUCUGCAGCUCGACUCCGUGAAGUUGGAUUCGCUAGUAAUCGCGCAUCAGCCAUGGCGCGGUGAAUACGUUCCCGGGCCUUGUACACACCGCCCGUCAAGCCAUGGAAGCUGGGGGUGCCUGAAGUUCGUUACCGCAAGGAGCGACCUAGGGCAAAACUGGUAACUGGGGCUAAGUCGUAACAAGGUAACC